Molecule: transfer RNA, 75 nt
Filed under: Candidatus Aenigmatarchaeota archaeon
Lineage: Archaea; Nanobdellati; Candidatus Aenigmatarchaeota
Description: tRNA-Arg
Rfam family: tRNA
About the family: Transfer RNA (tRNA) molecules are approximately 80 nucleotides in length. Their secondary structure includes four short double-helical elements and three loops (D, anti-codon, and T loops). Further hydrogen bonds mediate the characteristic L-shaped molecular structure. tRNAs have two regions of fundamental functional importance: the anti-codon, which is responsible for specific mRNA codon recognition, and the 3' end, to which the tRNAs corresponding amino acid is attached (by aminoacyl-tRNA synthetases). tRNAs cope with the degeneracy of the genetic code in two manners: having more than one tRNA (with a specific anti-codon) for a particular amino acid; and 'wobble' base-pairing, i.e. permitting non-standard base-pairing at the 3rd anti-codon position.
Source: RNAcentral
GGGCCCGUGGCGUAACCAGGAUCAGCGCGGAAGGCUUCGGACCUUCAUGUGCGGGUUCAAAUCCCGCCGGGCCCU